RNA transcript from Mercenaria mercenaria, 4171 nucleotides. It is a transcript of the gene named kinesin-like protein unc-104, with no coding region annotated. The transcript is spliced from 9 exons. NCBI's taxonomy places the organism in Eukaryota, Metazoa, Mollusca, Bivalvia, Venerida, Veneridae. The record is from RefSeq and is a predicted model, not a curated record.
UUUUCACAUUAAGCAAAUAUAUGUACUCUCUAUCUUUCAAUUUAACAUAUACUGUAAAUACUUUCUGGUUUCACAUUUAGCAAACAUGUUCUAUGUUCUAAUGAAUGGUACCUUCUACGAAAAUGAUUAUUAAACAUUGUGUUCACUGUUUAACGUUUUAAGUUUGUGACAUAGACUAAAGUACUUUUUUUUGAUUAGCUACAAACAUGAACAUUUUGUUAACAUUUUAGGAACAAAUAUCUCAAGAGAGAAAGCUCGCGAAAGAAAGAAAAGAAAUCUCACACCUCUGGAAUCUGAAUGAAGACCCCGCUCUCACCGGAAAAAUUAUUCAUUAUAUAAAACCAGGUCAAAGUCAGUAUGAAUUAACUGACAAAUAAACACCUCAAUAUGGAACUGUUAUGCUUCUUUAUUUAUAUCCAAUAACAUAGUUUCGCGCUAAGGUGACUCCUUGCGUAUGACUUCUAUGACACUCAAUCAAAAUUUAUCUUAAACAGUGCACGUGGUUGUAUAAUAUGUUAAUGUGAUGAGAAACAAAGAAAUAAAUUAAGCCCACGGUACAUUUUUUCACACUUGCAAUUCUAUGUUCGAAACUGCUAACUGGUGCGGGUAAAAUGAUGUAUAUGGAAUCAGUAUGCGUAAGAAUGCUCAUCUUUUUCAAGAUAAGGUGUGAUAAUUACCUUGACAAAAAUAUACUAAAAACUGUUUUUCAGGAUGCUUUACCUCAGUAGGUAACAAAAGAGCUAUGAAUUCACAAAAAAUUGAACUGCAUGAACCAAGCAUUGCACAAGAACUUUGUAUGAUACAGAACAAGAAUACCACGAUAACUAUAAUGCCGUUGAGUGGCCAGAUAAGGGUUAACGGCAUGAAUAUCACGGGACAAACAACUCUGAAACAUCAGGACAGGGUUUUCUUCAGUGCAAACAAUGUGUUUGUACUCCAUAAUCCCGUGGAGGAGAGACUGUUAAAACAAUCUGGUAAAGUGAUAAAACCUGUCACAUUUGAGAUGGCACAAAAUGAAAUUGGAGAACACAGUAAUGUUCAGUCAAAAGGGUAUGGCUGGUUUAGAGACGAAAUCGCAGAGACGCUGAUCCUAACUCACGAAGCAAAUGCCAUAGCGCUGGAACUGAAUCGAGGAAUAAGGUAUUUAUACGCGUUGAUACAACUGAAGGUGGUCAGUUUCUGUGGGGGAAGAACCAUUUUCAGGACAGGUUUGAUCUUAUGAUGGAAGUCUUUAGGAACUUCGAACGUGGAGUAGAAGACUGGGAACCUAAAACAAAGAUUACACUAUAUUCAUCAAAAUCAUUAUUAAAUUAAUGUACUGGUGUUCAUUUGUUACAUUAUCGGUAAACAGUUAACAGGUGUAGCCAUUGUGCCUUUUGAAUCACUGGCUUACACGUUGGACAUAGAAGAGCAAAUGAUUGGUAUCUAUGACUACCAAGCUCGUCUUGUGGGUCAUCUCGGCGUUUGUCUCGUACCUUGCACUGAAGAUUAUUAUUAUUAUUAUACCAGAUUUGUUGAGCGCCCUUUUCAUAUGUAAUAUACGUUCAAAGGCGCUUUACAAUUAAACAUGUGACACAUCGCAGAUAUGUAGGAAAAUAACAAAACAAGACAUAUGCAAUCACAAAACUGAGAUGGAGAAGAAAUGUCGGAUGAAUUAUCUGUGCAGGAACCACUGGAUUUGUGUCAUAUAUACAGUCUAUGCAAAAUUUGAUGGACAUGAACAUAUUAAAAAUAUUCACCUCAGCUGUGGACGAGAAGCUUUAAAUAAAGACAUUUCGUUCAAAGUGAAGAUCAAGGGGUCCGUCGGAAUUCCAAAACGAUUUAAAUCGUCCUGGUGCCACUACACUUUCCACACUGAGCAAGACCGGAUUUAUACAGAUGAAGUGCAUGGUGUUGUUCCUAAAUACAGUUUUGAACAUCUGCAUCAAUUGAAAAAGAUGUCACAUGCGACAAUCGAAUACCUAGAGGAAAGUUCACUGAUGACAGAACUGUAUGGGAGGCAGAAGCGAACGGAGGAUCCGCGAAGAGGAAGUACUCUUGAUGCAUUUACGCUCUCAAAUAAGCACCGUUUGAGCCAUUCCACAAGUUUAACAAACAACAAUUGUUUAUAUUCUCCUAGCUUGUGAUAGCUAUGCCCAAAAAUCAAUGAGUGGAAUACUUCUCGAAGAGGAUAGUGAGAGUGAAGAUGAGGCUGACAGAAAUAAAUUGUAAUCUAUAGAUUUGUAUAUUUGGUAAAGUAAGCUAACGCUGUUUUAGAAAUUUUAUUCUAUAUAGAGUAUUGAAAGAAAUGAAAGUUCAUAACUGAUGUUAACUACACUUGAUACUUGCCAGUGAAGUUUGUAAGGGCUUUUAGACGGCGCGGUUGUCAAACUUUGCACAUUAUUGAGAGACAAAUCAGCUCACGAUAAAUAUAUUCAGUGAAUUAAUUUAAUAUCAUGGGCAUUUUUGUACGUAAUUGUUACAGUUUUUUCAUGGGAAUAUAAGUUCGUGGGUGCAUGUUAUAAAGAUUAAGGACAUAAGUACAUGGGACUUAAAUUUGUUGGGAUGGGAUUGUGUGGAUUACUGCAACCAUGAAAUCCGAGAAAAUUUCUCCCACGAAUAUCAAAUGAAGUCACAAUAAUACAAUACUACAUUUUAUUUUCGGCAAUUUCGGGUCGUUUCAUUUAGACAUUGUAUCUGCCAGCUAGGUUUUUAUUUUACCUAUCAGUAUCUUAUGAUUCUGAUUUUUAAAAUGUUAGAUGGACGUCGUGAGCGACUCAUGAAGUCCAGUAAUAAUAUUUCACAAAGUUUUGGAUAUAUUUACAGCCAGAAGAGACACACAUUAUUCUGAGACGGCGGGGUUAUCUCGUAGGACGUCUGUCGAAUAUGACGGAAACAGUCGAGGCACAACAAAUCCCUGACAUUCUUUUAAAUAGUUCUAAAAAGAGUUUAGACAAUUUAUCGACGUCUAUGAUAGAAAGGACAGGAAUAGCUUCUAUUAUGGAAGAAGUUAUAAAAAGAGAUGGUUUGCAUGCAAAUAUUGAAUGAACUAGAAUGUGUCUGUAGGACACAGGGUGUUCCCCCCACUGGUACAUUUGUCACAAAUAAGGUGAAAUAAUUCAAAUGUCUGCAAUCUUAAUGGGGUAUAGCCUCAAAAAAAUAUGAGAAGGUUUCAUUAUUCUAUAUCAUAUACUUUUUGAGAUAUGAGCAUCAGAAACAAAAAAUCCACUAUUUUGGCUAUUUCAUGGGCCAUAACUCUGUAAUAAAUGCUAAUUUUCUCAAGAAGAAUGCCAAGUGUGAAAGGUCACAUUAUGAUAAAGACUCGAGCAAGGUUUCAUGAAUUUACAUUAAAUAUUUUCUGAGUGAGGCAUAUAAUUAGGUGAAUUUACUAUAUCAGGGGCCGUAACUCUAAAAAUAGGGGGAAGACUCAGAUAAAAAAUAGUAGAUGCGCAAGUUCAUAUCAUGAUAAAGACUCGUGCAAGGUUUCAUCAAUUUAUAUCAAAUACUUUCUUAGCUAGGGGUGUCACAAGGUGAAAAUGUGCAUUUUUGACUAUUUCAGGGGCCAUAACACUAGAAAUAGGGCACGGACUCAUAUUAAAAAUGGGAGAUGCGCAAGUUCAUAUCAUGAUUAAGACUCAUGAAAGGUUUCAUGAAUCUAUAUCAAAUACUUUUUGAGCUAGGCGUGUCACAAGGUGAAAAUGUGCAGGUUUUACUAUUUCAGGGGCCAAUACUCUAAAAAAAGGGGGGCGGAGCCAGAUAAAAAUAGGAGCUGCGUAAGUUCAUAUCAUGAUAAAGACUCAUGCAAGGUUUCAUGAAUCUAUACCAAAUACUUUAUGAGCUAGGCCUGUCACAAGGUGAAAAUGUGCAUUUUUGACUAUUUCAGGGGCCAUAACUCUAAAAAUAGGGGGCGGAGCCAGACGAUAAAUAAAAGGUGCGCAAGUUCAUAUCAUGAUAAAGACUCAUGCAAGGUUUCAUCAAUUUAUAUCAAAUACUUUUUGAGCUAGGCGCGUCACGAACCUCGGAUGGACGCACGCACGCACGCACGGACGCACGGCCGGACGGACGCACGGACAAGAACAAAUCUAUAUGCCCCCACCACUCAUGGGGGAGGGCACAAAAGGUAUUAUCUCUUCAGUUUUAGAUGAUUUUUUGUAUAUACAUGUAAAAUAUAAGGGAUUAUUAUGAUUCUUAA